RNAcentral lists this long non-coding RNA (689 nucleotides) under Rattus norvegicus (Norway rat). Its description in RNAcentral is "long non-coding RNA NONRATT007474". The record is from RNAcentral. Lineage: Eukaryota; Metazoa; Chordata; Mammalia; Rodentia; Muridae.
GGACCGGACAAGAUGGUAGUUGAUCUGACAGACCCCAACCGGCCCCGCUUUACCCUGCAAGAGCUGAGGGACGUUCUGCAGGAACGCAACAAGCUCAAGUCGCAGCUGCUGCUGGUGCAGGAGGAACUGCAGUGCUACAGGAGAGAAACUCCAGGAGGAAGAAGAGAGAAAGACGCUAUGGUUACCAUGGGCAACGGCGAGAAGGAGGAGAGGACCAUUAUGAAGAAGCUGUUCUCUUUCCGGUCAGGGAAGCACACCUAGAUUGAAGGCCAUUGCCAAGAUGGCGACCCUCUCGACUUGAGAAGAUAAUUGCCAAUAUGUCUUCUGGAACCAUCUUUCUGUGCUUUGGAGCUUUGCCCUCAGAGCAAAGUCAAAGGAAGAUGCUCUCAUGGCUCACCUGCUCCCCGGGGACAGAACUGGAUAGGCAGUAAGCUUUGGCCAGGACAAGUGAGGCAUGAUCAGGAACUUGAGAAAGCAAAGGAACACUGAGCGUGGCCUCCACUCAUGGACAGAGGCCUCUGGCCCGCAGAUUGUUCCUGCCUCAGCGGUAAUCCGGUCAGAGCAAGAUGGAAAAGUAGGAAAGUAUGGAAUCGCUUUUACUGAUAUUUGGUGAAUACUUGAUUUCUCUCACUCAACUUUCUUUAUAUGACUUUUGUAUUAAAAUGAAAAGACCUUUAGAGUUUCUAUUA